Non-coding RNA from Aedes albopictus (Asian tiger mosquito), 46 nucleotides. NCBI's taxonomy places the organism in Eukaryota, Metazoa, Arthropoda, Insecta, Diptera, Culicidae. The record is from Rfam.
CAAAAGGUCCUUCUCAGGACCACCCACUACAAAUUGCGAAAAAAAA